UCCUUGUAAGUUGUAAAAUGUAACAAAACAAGCUUGCUUCUCCUCUGAGAAAAGCCUCUCAUUCCCCUCCAUACGAAUACUCUCCACCCCGACAUAUUUAUUACAAAUAUUCUCUUUUUCCUCAACUUGGGAUCUUUACAUGUGUAUGCUUUUCUGUUCUUCUCUUCUCUGAUUUUCAGCCUUCCAAGAUAAGGUGAUUACUGCAUAAUUUGGAUGAGAAACCAUCAUGAUCUUGGUCAUGGCCAGCGGCAAAUUAUGAAUAAUAAGAGGGGGAGGAGAAGAAGAAAUAAAGAAAAUAAAAGUCCAUGCAUGGCUUGUUGUUGCUGCCCUUUUCUUUUGGUUUCUUCAAUAGCUAAAAGGUUCAGUAGAUGUUUGUUUGUGAGUUGUUAUCCAGUUUUACAGUGCUCUGGUUUAGAUGAACAUAGACACCACCAUCACCACCACAGGCAUUUCCAUUGAUUCCAAAGAAAAAAAAAAAUGAAUCUGUCGAAUUUCAACUUAAUUUUCUUUUUUUCCUUUUUUUUUGGGUAAUUUAUAAUGCAAAUAUACAUAUUGUAAUGUAUUAAAUUAAGAAGGUUAAUAUAUGCAAGCUUAACUAUUUAUUCAAUA
Molecule: long non-coding RNA, 609 nt
Organism: Jatropha curcas
Lineage: Eukaryota; Viridiplantae; Streptophyta; Magnoliopsida; Malpighiales; Euphorbiaceae
Source: RefSeq, a predicted model, not a curated record